UUGUUGUUUUGUUUUCGGAUUUGUUAAUGUGUUUUGCACUUCUCGGUCUUCAGUGGUGUCCUACCUAAAACAAUUCAACUCUUUAUACCAUCCUUAUAACACCAUGGCUAUAGAAACCAUCAAUAUUAUACAGAAACGCAGUAUAACAGAGUGCUGUAUCGCAGGUGUAACAGCUCUUACUGCAGUUCUCACUUCACUCCACCUGAGGGAACCGCCACCUGAUUUCUCAACACCUCCUGUUCAAAGGUGUGGGGCUGCUGGGGAGUGUGCUCUCUGGGGGCUCUACUGCAGGCUUGGCUGUCUCCAUCUCUGGUGGGUGAGUGGCCCUCCAGUAAGACUCAAGGUACUCAGCUAUGUGCUCACAGGCAUCUGACAGUUGGUUCUCAUCUAAGAUGACAUCAAAGAUCUCCUAGGAAGCAAAGAGAAAUGCAUCUGUUUGCCCAGCAUCACACCUCCUGCUACUCAGUGUCAUGCCAAGCCCAGUACAAAACAGUGCAGAAUUUUUAAACAACACCAAAAUCUGCUCAGCCAUGCUUCUACCUGCAUUCAGACUGAAGGUGAGAGUCACCAGACCAACCAAAAAAGGAGGUAUUUGUGUGUCCGGUCCGCAAUUAAAGACUGUUUUAAGACAACAGAAUAGGACAUCUUCAAAUAAGGAGCAACUUACAAUGACCACAAAGAGGAAUGUACUGAGGCUGAUACUGCUUACAUCUGAAAGUGCACUAAUGACGUCUCACACACAGGAAAACCACCAAAACAAUCAAGUACACAAGCUUCUAAGGGCUCAGGAUGCAGCCUUUAGAGCCGGUGACACUGCAGGCCUAGCAACAGAAAGAGCCAACUUGUCCCAUGGAAUCAGGGAAGCAGAACAUCAAUACAACAAUAAAAUAUCUGGACAUUUCAGCAACGGACAUCUUUAAAAUCUCACUGAGUCAAACAGUUGUUCCAAAGUGUUUUAAGGCCAAAGAAACCGCACCCAUCCAGUCACAAUGACUACCGGCCCGUUGCACUGACCCCCAUCAUUAUAAAGUGCUUAAAACAAGUGGUCAUGCAGCACAUAAAAUCCAUUCUUCCAUCUCAGCUGCUCUCCAUCCAGCCCUUACACACCUGGAUUUUAGUUCAGCAUUUUAGUUUCUUUAAAUCUGACACUGUUGCACGUGUUUUGUUUUGUUUUUUGUUUUUUUUACUUCUGUCAUAUUGCUGAUAUCUGUCUUGCACCUUCCAAAUGCGUUCAUACUCAAAACUAAGAUGCGCAUUUGCACCUUACACAUUCAGAUGUUUGAGAUAUGUUUACUGAGAGACUAGAGAAACGGUAUUUCGAUUCCUCUGUAUGUCUACACAUAUGGUUUCAUUCACAAAUAAAAAUCUUGAACCUUGAACCUUAAAGGCUAGGCUACUUAUAUUUUAGUCUGUGAAUAAUAGCACAAAAAAUUCAUGCAAAUCUGAUAUUAUGGGGAAGAGGAAGGCAUGUAAAAAAGCUUUUGUUUUUGUGGAAUAGAACCUUAGAUUAAUUAUAAAACAUAAAAAAAAUUCUUUUUGAACUUUAAACAUACUACACAUGGAAUCGACGGCUGGUAAGACCAAGUUGUACAAAAUAGUCUGACCAGCUUCAUAGGUUCACAUGGCACCUGUUAGUUCAUGGGAUAUAUUAGGAUCAGAGAAUCACUAGAACUGCAGCUCUUGUAGGAUGUUCCUGGUCUGCAGUGGUCAGUAUCUAUUAAAAU
Long non-coding RNA from Silurus meridionalis, 1724 nucleotides. RefSeq lists it as uncharacterized. Lineage: Eukaryota; Metazoa; Chordata; Actinopteri; Siluriformes; Siluridae. The transcript has 3 exons. The record is from RefSeq and is a predicted model, not a curated record.